Molecule: long non-coding RNA, 157 nt
Organism: Symphalangus syndactylus (siamang)
Lineage: Eukaryota; Metazoa; Chordata; Mammalia; Primates; Hylobatidae
Source: RefSeq, a predicted model, not a curated record
GCUAAAAAUGGCCCUGGGGAGACUUUGCUGAAGUUGCAUGGAGUUCGGGAGCCUAGGAGGGGUCUGCAAAUAACUGUCAAAAAGUUCGAAGGGACGGCGGAGAUGCUUUCAACCUAAGACUGCAAUCAUAAUUAAAACAUGAAUAGUAACAUUUUAA